GAUCCAUCCUGUCCCAAGACUGGGGAAGAUCUACCGGCGAACGGGUGAGUAACACGUGAGAAACCUGCCCUGAAGUCUGGGAUAACCCGAGGAAACUCGAGCUAAUACCGGAUGCCUUCAUCUGAUCGCAUGGUCGGAUGAAGAAAGAUUCAUCGCUUCAGGAGGGUCUCGCGGCCUAUCAGCUAGUUGGUGGGGUAACGGCCCACCAAGGCGUCGACGGGUAGCUGGUCUGAGAGGACGAUCAGCCACACUGGGACUGAGACACGGCCCAGACUCCUACGGGAGGCAGCAGUGGGGAAUAUUGCGCAAUGGGCGAAAGCCUGACUCAGCAUCGCCGCGUGCGGGAUGAAGGCCUUCGGGUUGUAAACCGCUUUCAGUGGGGACGAAAUUGACGGUACCCACAGAAGAAGCCCCGGCCAAGUACUUGCCAGCAGCCGCGGUAACAAGUAGGGGGCGAGCGUUGUCCGGAUUUAUUGGGCGUAAAGAGCUCGUAGUCGGCUCGGUAAGUCGGGUGUGAAAACUCUAGGCUCAACCUAGAGACGCCACCCGAUACUGUUGUGGCUAGAGUCCGGUAGGGGAGCAUGGAAUUCCUGGUGCAGCGGUGAAAUGCGCAGAUAUCAGGAGGAACACCAGUGGUGACGGCGGUGCUCUGGUCCGGUACAGAUGCUGAGGAGCGAAAGCGUGGGGAGCAAACAGGAUUAGAUACCGUCGUAGUCCACGCCGUAAACUUUGGGAAUUAGGUGUGGGUCAUCAUCAACGGGUUCCGUGCCGAAGCUAACGCAUUAAGUUCCCCGCCUGGGGAG
This 803-nucleotide ribosomal RNA is filed under the name uncultured bacterium. Its description in RNAcentral is "bacterial SSU rRNA". It matches the Rfam family "Bacterial small subunit ribosomal RNA", at positions 69 to 880 of the family's 1533-position model. The record is from RNAcentral.